This 583-nucleotide ribosomal RNA is filed under the name uncultured bacterium. RNAcentral's name for it is "bacterial SSU rRNA". It matches the Rfam family "Bacterial small subunit ribosomal RNA", at positions 338 to 916 of the family's 1533-position model. The record is from RNAcentral.
CCUACGGGAGGCAGCAGUGGGGAAUUUUGGACAAUGGGGGCAACCCUGAUCCAGCAAUGCCGCGUGAGUGAAGAAGGCCUUCGGGUUGUAAAGCUCUUUUGUCAGGGAAGAAACGGUGAGUUCUAAUACAACUUGCUAAUGACGGUACCUGAAGAAUAAGCACCGGCUAACUACGUGCCAGCAGCCGCGGUAAUACGUAGGGUGCAAGCGUUAAUCGGAAUUACUGGGCGUAAAGCGUGCGCAGGCGGUUAUAUAAGACAGAGGUGAAAUCCCCGGGCUCAACCUGGGAACUGCCUUUGUGACUGUAUGGCUAGAGUGUGUCAGAGGGGGGUAGAAUUCCACGUGUAGCAGUGAAAUGCGUAGAUAUGUGGAGGAAUACCGAUGGCGAAGGCAGCCCCCUGGGAUAACACUGACGCUCAUGCACGAAAGCGUGGGGAGCAAACAGGAUUAGAUACCCUGGUAGUCCACGCCCUAAACGAUGUCUACUAGUUGUCGGGACUUAAUUGUCUUGGUAACGCAGCUAACGCGUGAAGUAGACCGCCUGGGGAUACGGUCGCAAGNUUAAAACNCAAAGGAUUGACGG